AAAACUGAAUAUAUUUUAGGUGUUUCACGUGAAGCUUAAUUGGGAAAAUGGUGAAAAUCCAUCACAGCCCCCGCUACUGUAAAUGCAGAUGAAAUCGAUGAAGUCCACUGGAUUUUUCUGGGAAGGAAUCGAGAGUAAAAGGAAGCAUAAGUCAGGAGACCAGCCUAAAGACCAGUAACUAC
This 182-nucleotide non-coding RNA is filed under the name Alkaliphilus metalliredigens. Lineage: Bacteria; Bacillati; Bacillota; Clostridia; Peptostreptococcales; Natronincolaceae. RNAcentral also lists the same sequence under 1 other name. The record is from RNAcentral.